Molecule: ribosomal RNA, 253 nt
Filed under: uncultured bacterium
Lineage: Bacteria
Description: partial 16S ribosomal RNA
Rfam family: Bacterial small subunit ribosomal RNA
Source: RNAcentral
UACAGAGGUGGCAAGCGUUGUUCGGAAUUACUGGGCGUAAAGGGCGCGUAGGCGGCCUUCUUAGUCGGACGUGAAAUCCCCAGGCUUAACUUGGGAACUGCGUCCGAUACUGGAGGGCUCGAGUGCGGGAGAGGGAUGUGGAAUUCCAGGUGUAGCGGUGAAAUGCGUAGAUAUCUGGAGGAACACCGGUGGCGAAGGCGGCAUCCUGGACCGACACUGACGCUGAGGCGCGAAAGCUAGGGGAGCAAACGGG